GUGUAGUGAUAAUGCUGCUUCGCCAGCCUUUUCUUUGGUGGUUCGCCUCUAGCUCCUCAUCUUCCUGGGCAGUUUUCUUAAGGCUUUUCCCGAGAAAUUGGCAAAGUCCUAUGCGGUGAAAAACAUGGCCGACAUUCUGAAGAGAUACCCACGCCCCCUUUACAUCACAUAACCCAGCAUGCUGUUCGGAUCGGCACGGUUCUGUGAAGACCCUCAGCAGUGACAGUGGAGGACUGGGUCUAUCUGUAUCCAUGUUCUGGUGGACCACCGCAUGUACAGUCUGUGGAGGAAGACCGAUCCCUGUGCCCACCUUUGUUUAACCCCUUUUCACCUCUUCUUCAAGACGUCAGUUGAUGUUUUAAGGCUAGAGGAAUCAUCAACAAUAAAGGGUUGUCCAAUGAAGCCUGUA
Long non-coding RNA from Acanthochromis polyacanthus (spiny chromis), 409 nucleotides. RefSeq lists it as uncharacterized. The transcript has 3 exons. The record is from RefSeq and is a predicted model, not a curated record. Lineage: Eukaryota; Metazoa; Chordata; Actinopteri; Pomacentridae.